GUGCAAUCGCCUCUUAUUUCGUGCGAAAACAGAAGAUGAAAGUCAAGGAUGAAAAGUUUUUGUCCACAUAAUAUAUUUAUUAUUGCGCAUAAUAUACUUUACACGCCGAAAGAAAGAAAGAAAGGAGAAGAAGGGUCAUAAAUAGAGAAAAGGAAAAGGACAAAAAAAAGGGACAAAAGUUUGGUCAACCUUGGAAAAAUUUAUAGGAUUUGGUCUUGAAGAGCCUUGGAUCGUAAUGAAUAUCAUUAUAAUAGAACAAUGAAGAAAGAAUCUUAUGAAUAUUGGAAGAUUUAUAAGCUUUACUAAGAUAAUUUGUUAUAAGGGAAUGAAACGAAAAAAAAUGUACAUAAAAAUAAAGGAUAUCCAAAUCCGAAAGGAAACAUAAAAUUACGUGCUAUCACAUAUCAAGAAAUUUAAUUCUAGAAAAAUAACAAUUUAUUCGUCUUUAUUUUUUUACUCAAAAGUAACAAAUGCUCUGGCAUUAAAAAAACCAUAAAUCUAGUUUAGAAAUUUUAUAAGUCUCAAAAUUUUCUUUUGCACAAUGUAACUGUGAGAAAUAAUAAUUUUUAUUAAUUCUCUUUUGUUCAUUUUAAUUUAAAAAGCUAUUAAAAAAAUAUAAAUUAAAUAUUAAUGAGAUAAAACAUACGAUUUGAAAUUCAUUGAUUAAACUAAACUUUGCCUGGUGCAAAUUUCUAUCUGGAUUAAUGACGUAUCAUAAAUAAGAGAUUUUAAAGGAUAAAGAUUCCAACGGUUUAAGAGAAAGUGAACAUUUUUGAAGAAAUUGUCUGGUCACCCACCACUAUCGAAAAUGGUCCCCUCUUCUGAGCAAGGCUAGGUAAAAAGGGAAAAGGCUUCAAAUCCCAUUGGUAAUUUAAAUUGGCAUAUUCGAAAAAUUAACCAAUCAGCAUGCUUUAACAAAAUAUAAGGUCAACCUGAUAUAAUAUAAGAUAAACCUGAACGAAGUGUCGAACAGAAGCAAAUCAACCAUCGAAGAAAUCAUUUCAAAUCAAUAUCGAAGAUCAAUAUCGUUCACACUUCGCCUACAGGAUCGAUUCUUCGAAUAGUUCUUUAUCAUUGAUAGAUACGAAAAUUUUAGUUACAAGAAUUUAUAGAUUCUGCUGAAAGAUUGGCAAACAAAAGUUGAAUCAAUUUGUUCAGAACGGACGAAACGUGCUAUGGAUUGCAACCAUCGUCGUGGAUAUACGUUCGCCAUAAUAUUCUAAUAAUACAAUACAGAAAAAAUAAUGAUCUCUAAGAAUUAUAUUAGAGAUAAGUGUGUAAAGAACAUCUUUACUUACUAGUGUAAGAGGAAGAUUACGCCAUAAAAGAAUGACUUUAUAGAAAUGACUAUUAUAAUCAACCUACAUUUUCAAAAUGAUUGUAAUUCAAGCAAAAGAAAAUGAAGAUUUUCUACCUCUGUUUUAUCAUCAUUAUUUAAUUAAUCGCAUAUAUUUACUGCAGAGAACUGCCAUUUCAUUCACGAAGAGUGUAAAACGAAGAUUACGCCACGACAAAAGAAUGAUUUUAUGGAAUAAUUGUUAUGGUGGUCAACCUGCAUUUUCAAAAUGAUUAUAGUUCAAGCAAAAGAAAAUGAAGAGUUUCUGCCUCUGUUUUAUCAUCAUUAUUUAAUUAAUCGCACAUUUUUACUGCAGAGAACUGCCACUUCACUCACGAAGAGUGUAAAACAAAGAUCACGCCACGAUAAAAGAAUGAUUUUAUGGAAUAAUUGUUAUGGUGAUCAACCUGCAUUUUCAAAAUGAUUGUAGUUCAAGCAAAAGAAAAUGAAGAGUUUCUGCCUCUGUUUUAUCAUCAUUAUUUAAUUAAUCGCGUGAUAACAUCUUUAUUGCAGAGAACUGCCAUUUCAUUCGCGAAGAGUUGUAAAAUGAAGAUUGCAAUACUAGUAUGAUCAAUCUACGUUUAAAGAUGAAAUCAAGCAAAAUCUUCAGUACCAUCACUCUAUCAUCAUUCGUUGUCAUCAAAUAUCCUGGUUUAAAUCGAAAAUUAAAUCAAGUCUUAAUUCUUGUGACUUUGUGCGAAAAUAAUUUUUUAUUCGAUAAAUUAUUAUUUUGCGAAGAAAAUUCUUAAUUCGCACAUUUUAUAGUGAAUCAGAAAAGAUUUGAAAAUAAUUGCAGUUUAUAUAAGAAGAUAUGAAAAAAGAAUUCGCAAGGAUUGUAUGUUAAUUAAACAAUCCAUGUUACAAAUUAUUAGAAGAUCAAUGAAUAUCUUUGAUUAUCGAGAUAUGGAUCUAUAAAUCUUGAAUCUACGAAUUUAUUAAUAAACAUCGAUUAUUUAGAUUAUUCUAAAUCAAGAUUAAUACGAAUCUUUUGAUUGAAUCAAAAAUAAGAAUGUUCUACAGAAAUUUGGACAGCGUAAAUUCAACAUCUCGCCCAAAAUGUACAGAAUUGCAAACUCAAAUAUACAAAAGAUACACGCUUCAUCCUGAUUCAUCGCUUAAUUUUGUAUGAUUCUAAUUGUGUAUGUACAAAAGAGAGAUUUCAUUUUCAUGGACUAUCUUGACUACAUUUAAAGAUGAUUGCAGUUUAUUCAUACGAAUGUUUUAUCAUUGAGGUUUUACAAAGGAUUGAACAAUGAUAAUUCAAGGCCAUUCCAUCUUCCUUUCACGAUUUCAUUCUAUACAUUAUGUUUUACUAUAUAGAAAAUGAAUAUCUAAUCUAUCACGAAUGACAAAUGAAAAUCCUGAUCAUAACGAGACGAUUUUCUAUUAAUAGAUCAACUUAAAUAACAUUUAAAAUGUUUGUACAUUGUAAAAUAAAAAGAAGAAUAUACUCAAAAAAACGGUUUGUGUUUGAGUAUAUAUUAAUUAAUUAGUCUAUCAAUUAUUAAAAAACGAUCUGCGAUCAUCAAGAUUCUUGAGAAAAUGUUGGACAACAAAUAUUGAAUAACUUGUACAGAAUGUGAUAUGGAGAAUAUAAUGGAUGACAUAAUUAAAUCGUGAACUCGACAAAGAUUUUGCGACUUCAUUCUACAUAAGAAUAAUGUUUUAAACGACAGAUAAUUACUUUAUCUGUUUAAAUGUUUGUACAUUGUAAAAUAAAAAGAAGAAUAUACUCGAAGAAACGUUUUGUGUUUGAGUAUAUGUUAAUUAAUUAGUCUAUCAAUUAUUAAAAAACGAAUUGCGAUCAUCAAAGUAAGAAUAUAAAUCUACGAGUCAUCCUGUAUAUGACACAAUUAAAUCAUGAACUGGAUUUGGAAAGAUUUUGCGACUUCAUUCUACAUAAGAAUAAUGUUUUAAACAAUAGAUAAUCACUUUAUCUAUUAAAUGAAAAUCUUUAUGAUGAAGAAAUAUUUUCAUUGGAAUAAGUCAGUAACAUAUGGACGAUUUGUGAUUGCAAAUUUUAACCAUCAAAUACUCGAAUACGCGAUUUUCCAUAUAAGGGCGAUUUUUUACAAUGUACAAAGUCAUCUUUUAAUUGCACGUAUGAAAAUCUCUAAUAAAAAAGAUUUUAUGGAUAUCUUGAUUACAUUUAAUCUCUAAUAAAAGAUUUUAUGGAUAUCUUGACUAUAUUUAAAGAUGAUUGUAAUUCAGAUUGGAAGAUUGGCAUUGGAUACCUUCGAGAUAUGAAUCAUCCUAUAUAAUAGCCUGAAUUAAAAUUGAUAUGAACUUUUGGAUUUCAUUGAAUAUUCAGAUUCUGAAGAAAGAUUGGUUGGAUUUUAGCAAAAUUAAACAAUUUGUUCGAAAUGUGUCAUGGACAAGACGUGCAACGCAUGGCAAAUUUAUGUUAUUAACUGCAUGGAAUUAUACAUUUAAUUUUUACGACUUCAUUUUGUAGAACAAAUCUACAAAGAAAUAGCUUUAUUCAUUUGCGAUGAAUGGCAAAUAAAAAUCAUACUAUAAGAUUAGAAACGCUUUCAUUUCCAUGGUAUAAAAUCGUAAUGGUUUGUAUAAAAAAAAAUAUUAAUGAACAUCAUGCGUAUAAUUGAUUGACAUCCCCAAAUUAAAAUCCGCGCUAUCAAUGUGCCAAAUAUCAGGCACUCGUGGAAAAUCUUGAUAAAAAACAUCCUUCCAUAAAGAGAAGCAUAAUUUGGACAUUCUUCUAUAAAAGGACCAUUAUAUAUGGAUAUUAAUAUUUCUAUAGAUUCUCUAAUUUGGAUAUCCAACAUUUUUCUUCAAAACCACUAUUAUAUGUGAUAUAUGAUUUCAAUGAAUAUCCUGUAUAACAGUGAUUAUGAGGCUUUCAUCAUUGAAAUGUGAUUUCAAAAUUGAUUAAAAAAUCGAUUGACAAUCCCCAAAUUAAAAUCCAUACUAUCAUCGUGAAAAAUCUUAAUGAAAAACAUUCUUCAACAAUUAAAAUAAGACACACUUGCAACAUCCACAGUAUCAAUUAUUUUAAAGAAGGAGCAUUAGAUAUGAAUAUUAAUAUUUCUAUGAACCUAUUAAUUUGGACAUCCAACAGCCUUCUGUAUAAAAAGUACCAGAUAUAAAUAUGGAUAUGAAUAUCCUGCAUAGCAAUGAUUGUGAAGAUUUCAUCAUUGGAAUUUGCUAUCGCACAAUUGAUUAAAAAAUUGGCUGACAUCCCCAAAUUAUAAUUAUUAUCAUAUGCGGCAAAAUCAGGCGCUAUUAUUGAAAUUGUCAAUGUAAAACAUUUUUCUAACAAAAGAAA
This is a long non-coding RNA of Apis laboriosa (Himalayan honeybee), 4622 nucleotides long. RefSeq lists it as uncharacterized. Lineage: Eukaryota; Metazoa; Arthropoda; Insecta; Hymenoptera; Apidae. The record is from RefSeq and is a predicted model, not a curated record. The transcript has 5 exons.